UACAGAGGGUGCGAGCGUUGUCCGGAAUUACUGGGCGUAAAGUGUGCGCAGGCGGCUCCGCAAGUCGAGUGUGAAAGCCCCGAGCUUAACUUGGGAAUUGCGCUCGAAACUACGGAGCUGGAGUGUGGCAGAGGAAGGUGGAAUUCCACGUGUAGCGGUGAAAUGCGUAGAGAUGUGGAGGAACACCGAUGGCGAAGGCAGCCUUCUGGGCCAACACUGACGCUCAUGCACGAAAGCGUGGGGAGCAAACAGG
Molecule: ribosomal RNA, 253 nt
Filed under: uncultured bacterium
Lineage: Bacteria
Description: partial 16S ribosomal RNA
Rfam family: Bacterial small subunit ribosomal RNA
Source: RNAcentral